AGAGUUUGAUCAUGGCUCAGAAUCAACGCUGGCGGCGCGCUUAACACAUGCAAGUCGAACGAGAAAGCCCGCAAGGGUGAGUACAGUGGCGCACGGGUGAGUAACACGUGGGUAAUCUGCCUCUGGGUGGGGAAUAACUCUGGGAAACCGGAGCUAAUACCGCAUAAGCCUGAGAAGGGAAAGGUGAAAACCGCCGAGAGAGGAGCCCGCGGCCGAUUAGCUGGUUGGUGAGGUAAAGGCUCACCAAGGCAAUGAUCGGUAGCCGGCCUGAGAGGGCACACGGCCACACUGGCACUGAAACACGGGCCAGACUCCUACGGGAGGCAGCAGUGGGGAAUCUUGCACAAUGGGGGAAACCCUGAUGCAGCGACGCCGCGUGAGCGAUGAAGCCCUUCGGGGUGUAAAGCUCUUUCGGCAGGAACGAUAAUGACGGUACCUGAAGAAGAAGCUGCGGCUAACUACGUGCCAGCCGCCGCGGUAAUUC
Molecule: ribosomal RNA, 484 nt
Filed under: uncultured bacterium
Lineage: Bacteria
Description: bacterial SSU rRNA
Rfam family: Bacterial small subunit ribosomal RNA
Source: RNAcentral